CUGGCGACUUGAGCAGAUAGUUCCGGAGUGCUCGGCAGGUGGUUCAGGCAUGUCCGGCAGGUAGUCCUGGCGAGUUGAGCAGGUGGUUCUGGCGUGCACUGCUUGUGGUUCAGGCAGGUCCAGCAGGUGGUUCCGGUCGGUCCUUUAGGUGGUUCCAGCAUGUCCUGCAUGUGGUUCUUGUACAUCUGAGACAUGCUUCUGGCAUGCCCAGCAUGUGAUUCUGCACUGCCCACCACGUGGUUCUUGCGUAGCUGGCAGGUGAUCUUGGUGUGUCCGGCAGGUGGUUCCAGCGAGUCGAGCAGGUGGUUCCGGUCUGUCCGGGAGGUGGUUCCGGGCUGUCCGGCACGUGGUACUGGCACGUCUGAGAAGUGGUUCAGGCAUCCCCGGCAGGUGAUUCUGGAGUGUCCGGCAAAUGGUUCUGGCUUAGCCGGCAGGUGAUUUUGGCGUGUCUGGCAGGUGGUUCUGGAGAUUCAAGCAGGUGGUUCUGGUGUGCUCGGCAGGUGCGCCUGGCGUGUCUGGCAGGUGAUUCCGGUCGGUCCUGUAGGUGGUUACAGCGUGUCCGGCACGUGGUUCUGGCACGGCUGCGAGGUUGUUAUGGCAUGUCCGGCAGGUGGUUCCGGUGGGUCCGGCAGGUGGUUCCGGUCUGUCUGGAAGGCGCAUCUGGCAUGUUCGGCACGUGGUUCUGGCACGUCUGAGACGUGGUUCCGGAAUGUCCGGCAGGUGAUUCCAGAGUGUCUGGCACGUGGUUCUGGUGUAGCCGGCAGGUGAUUUUGGCGUGUCCUGCAGGUGGUUCCGGUGAGUCGAGCAGGUGAUUCCAGCAUGCUCAGCAGGUGGUUCAGGCGUGUCUGGCAGGUGGUUCCGGGAGGUCUGGGUGGUGGUUUUGGUGUGUCCAGCACAU
This 898-nucleotide long non-coding RNA is filed under the name Equus caballus (horse). Its description in RNAcentral is "lncRNA (ENSECAG00000053493.1)". Lineage: Eukaryota; Metazoa; Chordata; Mammalia; Perissodactyla; Equidae. The record is from RNAcentral.